AUGAGUCAACACAGCUCCACUCUCCGCAUAACCCUGGACAGUACGCAUGUCUUAUGGGUGGACAGUAAACAUGUCUUAUGGGUGGACAGUAAACAUGUCUUAUGGGUGGACAGUACACAUGCCUUAUGGGUGGACAGUAAACAUGUCUUAUGGGUGGACAGUACGCAUGUCUUAUGGGUGGACAGUAAACAUGUCUUAUGGGUGGACAGUAAACAUGUCUUAUGGGUGGACAGUAAACAUGUCUUAUGGGUGGACAGUACACAUGUCUUAUGGGUGGACAGUAAACAUGUCUUAUGGGUGGACAGUACACAUGUCUUAUGGGUGGACAGUAAACAUGUCUUAUGGGUGGACAGUACACAUGUCUUAUGGGUGGACAGUAAACAUGUCUUAUGGGUGGACAGUAAACAUGUCUUAUGGGUGGACAGUACACAUGUCUUAUGGGUGGACAGUACACAUGUCUUAUGGGUGGACAGUAAACAUGUCUUAUGGGUGGACAGUACGCAUGUCUUAUGGGUGGACAGUAAACAUGUCUUAUGGGUGGACAGUAAACAUGUCUUAUGGGUGGACAGUACACAUGUCUUAUGGGUGGACAGUAAACAUGUCUUAUGGGUGGACAGUACACAUGUCUUAUGGGUGGACAGUAAACAUGUCUUAUGGGUGGACAGUACGCAUGUCUUAUGGGUGGACAGUAAACAUGUCUUAUGGGUGGACAGUAAACAUGUCUUAUGGGUGGACAGUAAACAUGUCUUAUGGGUGGACAGUAAACAUGUCUUAUGGGUGGACAGUACACAUGUCUUAUGGGUGGACAGUAAACAUGUCUUAUGGGUGGACAGUAAACAUGUCUUAUGGGUGGACAGUACGCAUGUCUUAUGGGUGGACAGUACGCAUGUCUUAUGGGUGGACAGUAAACAUGUCUUAUGGGUGGACAGUAAACAUGUCUUAUGGGUGGACAGUACGCAUGUCUUAUGGGUGGACAGUAAACAUGUCUUAUGGGUGGACAGUACACAUGUCUUAUGGGUGGACAGUACGCAUGUCUUAUGGGUGGACAGUAAACAUGUCUUAUGGGUGGACAGUAAACAUGUCUUAUGGGUGGACAGUACACAUGUCUUAUGGGUGGACAGUACGCAUGUCUUAUGGGUGGACAGUAAACAUGUCUUAUGGGUGGACAGUAAACAUGUCUUAUGGGUGGACAGUAAACAUGUCUUAUGGGUGGACAGUACACAUGUCUUAUGGGUGGACAGUAAACAUGUCUUAUGGGUGGACAGUAAACAUGUCUUAUGGGUGGACAGUAAACAUGUCUUAUGGGUGGACAGUAAACAUGUCUUAUGGGUGGACAGUACGCAUGUCUUAUGGGUGGACAGUACACAUGUCUUAUGGGUGGACAGUACACAUGUCUUAUGGGUGGACAGUACGCAUGUCUUAUGGGUGGACAGUACACAUGUCUUAUGGGUGGACAGUAAACAUGUCUUAUGGGCUGUCAUUCAUAACCACAGAAAAGCACUGUGA
RNAcentral lists this long non-coding RNA (1506 nucleotides) under Oncorhynchus mykiss (rainbow trout). Its description in RNAcentral is "lncRNA (ENSOMYG00000062098.1)". Lineage: Eukaryota; Metazoa; Chordata; Actinopteri; Salmoniformes; Salmonidae. The record is from RNAcentral.